Molecule: long non-coding RNA, 363 nt
Filed under: Carica papaya (papaya)
Lineage: Eukaryota; Viridiplantae; Streptophyta; Magnoliopsida; Brassicales; Caricaceae
Description: long non-coding RNA (CPAP_LNC008952)
Source: RNAcentral
CCAAGCCCUCAGCUCCAUACCGCAAACCAGCACCUAUCGCACCUGUUCAACAGAACAAGAGACCGAGGCCGAUGACUCAGGCUCCCCCUCAGGUUCCAGCAACAGGACGCGGUAGGACCUGUCAGCACUGUGGCAAGGAUCAUGGGAACCAACCCUACUAUCGCCUCAACAACACUUGCCGCAUAUGUGAUAGCGCCCAACAUUAUGCAAGGGAGUGCCCGAGGAAUCAUAACCAGGCCAGACCUCCUAUCUAAGGCAGAGCUUACAACCUCACUCAGCAAGAUGCAGAAGCCAACUCGGACGUGGUACAUGAUACUUAUACUAUCUGUAACCAUCUUACACAUAUUUUAAUUGAUACUAGUG